Pangasianodon hypophthalmus (striped catfish) is the source of this 2965-nucleotide long non-coding RNA. RefSeq lists it as uncharacterized. The record is from RefSeq and is a predicted model, not a curated record. The transcript is spliced from 4 exons. Lineage: Eukaryota; Metazoa; Chordata; Actinopteri; Siluriformes; Pangasiidae.
AUGAUGGACGUUUGAUUUCAGUAACCAGGACCGCCCUCUUUUCUCUAAUUGGCUGCGGCUUCUUUAAAGACAGAGGUGACGUCAAGAGCUCCUCGGAGGUUCGCGCGCACGAGCUCGGAGGUGGUCAUUACAACGUGUGUGUUCAAGUGGUUUUGGUCAGAAAUAUGGACGGCGUGAGAAGAAUUCUGUUGUUUUUAUAAUCAUUUUCAUCAAGUUUCAAGAAGUUUAUUCGACUGUUUAUAAUAGUUAAUAUACAAAAUAACAUAAAAUCCAAGUCUUUUUAAUCUAACCAUCUUGGUAUAAUGGUUAGCACAUUUACCUCACGCGCGCGAGUUGGGGGUCGAUUCCCGCCUCUGUCCUGUAUUUUCAAUUAUGUUCAAGUCAGGGGACUGUGAGGGCCGCUCCAAAAGCUUCAGCUUGCAUUUCCUGAAGUAGCUCAUGGUGGACUUUGAGAAUUUGCUGAUAUUUACUGGAAUCCAUUCUUCCAUCUACCUGUGCAAUGUUUCCUGUGUCACUGGCUGCCACACAAGCAUGACAGAUUCACCCCCAUGCUUAACAGUUGGCAAGAAAGACAGAUUAACAAGGUGACAGAUGCAGAGGCAGUGGGAGGUGAUGGCCUGCAGGAACAUAACGGUUUCCCAGAUAAAAAUUCCCCAAAACACGUCACCGUGUCCCAGAGGAGCUGAUCCACACAUUGUAAUGCCAAACUGCUCCAAGUGCUAAUCACAACAUAUUAGGCAGGAUGACUAGUGCCCUAAUUACGAAGUAUACAUUUGUUUGCAAAUGUUUGGGUACUCCUGUGCAAAUCACACAUUUUGUUGAUUUUUGAAGUGAAGUAAAACAACCACUGUAGUAAAUGUUAAAAAAAUAACAUUUUAUGCAAAUGUUAAUCUGCAGUUCAUUUAUAUUCAAUUAACCUAAAAAAUAGAAAAAUAAUACAAUCAUAAUUAUAGCAUGUGCAAAAGUUUUCAAAUUUUGAAUAAAGUCUCAGAACUAAAUUAACUUGUUAGGCCUUGAUUUACUUGUUAGGACUUGUUAUUCAGGUCAAGAAUUGUCAUUAGGAAACUCUUCAAACUUUAUGCUAAAAUCAACAACCAUGAGCUUCUCUAAGCAGCUGACUGAGGAUCUGAAAAUUAAGCUAAUCGAUGCCUACAAAGCAGAGGAAGGCACUUAAGGGGAACUGUGAAAGUCAAGGCUAGAUGUGGAAGGCUAAGAAAAUUCUCAAAUAGAACUGCCUGUAUGCUGGGCAGAAUGGCAAAGCAAAAUCCCCAAAUGACAGCAAGGACCUGCAGGAAUGUUUAGCUGAGACAUGAGUGGUGCACCAUUCUACUCUGUAGCAUUACUUGCACAAACAUGAUCUGCAUGGGACAGUCAUCAGAAGGAAACCUCAUCUGUGACCUUAUCACAAAAGUCGAUGUCUGAAGUAUGCAAAACAACAUGUAGAUAAGCUGAGGCAUUUUGGAAAAAAGUAUUACGUACUCAUGAAUUAAAAUUUUAACUCUUCGGCCGCAAUCACCAAAGGUAUAUUUGGAGAAAAAAGUACGAUUUGAUGAAAAGAACACCUUGCAAACUAUUAAGCCUGGGGUGAAACUAUUAUGCUUGGGGUUGUGUGGCAGCCAGUGGCACAGGAAACAUUGCACAGGUAGAUGGAAGAAUGGAUUCCAGUAAAUAUCAGCAAAUUCUGGAAAAAUAUGUGACAGUCAGUCAAGAGACUUAAGCUGAAAAGAGAAUGGCUUCUACAACAGGACAAUGAUCCAAAACAUACCUCAAAGUCCACCAUUACCUACUUCAAGAAAUGCAAGCUGAAGCUUUUGGAGCGGCCCUCACAGUCCCCUGACUUGAACAUAAUUGAAAAUCCGUGGGUAGAUUUUAAACAUGUUGUGCAUGCAAGAUGGCCCAAAAAUAUUGGUUGAACAUUCCUAAAACAAGAAAUGAAAGAUUCCUAGCUGGCUACAAAAAGUCUUUGCAAGCUGUGAUAUCUGCCAAAGAAGGUGUUACUACGUACUGACUUAGUAGGGCAUCCAAACUUUUGCACCUGCCACAAUUUUUUUCUAUUUUUUAAGUUAAUCAAAUAUAAAGUACUGUGCAUUAACAUUUGGAAAAAUUUUUUUUAUUAUAAUGUUAUUAUUAUGCCUCCACCGGGUCCCUGGAGGACUAAUUGUUAUGCCUCAGCACUCUCACUGCCAUGUCCCCAGUUCGAUUCCUGGCCAGGGAACCAACCCCAGCCACUGGGGUUGCACGAGACAGUGCACUCCCAAUGCUGGUCCCAACCCCAGAUAAAACUGACUUGUGUCAGGAAGAGUAUCUUGCGUAAAAACUGUGCCAAAUCAAAUAUGUGGACCAAUGAUCCACUGUGGAGACCCCUAACGGGACAGCCGAAAGAAGAAGAUUAUUAUGCCUCCACAGCUAGGUGGCAGUAUGCGUCUGCAUCUGUCGAAGUUUCUCAUUAGCACGCUAUCUCAAGAACGAGUGUUUGAAUGGUUGUAGUAUUUAUAUGGAAUUAUCAUUGUAUCCAGCAGAUGAACUGAUAAAAUAUUGGAAUUGAUCCAAACAGGAUCAAAGCCCAGCAAGGUCGAAUGUCCAAAAUAGUUUUUCUUCAAUAGCUUCCUUUCUCUUUGAAGUAUAUUUUAAGGGUAUUUUAGGCAUACAAAUUUGAGGUCUUUACUUCUUUUCACUUCAAAAACCAACAAAAUAUGUGUGGGUGUGGGGUUCCCAAACUUUUGCAUUCAACUGUACAUGAAAAGACCUACAGAUGAAACACGAGGUUUUAACAUUAUAGUAUUUUAACUCGUGAUUCAUGUGGGUGACAAAAAGUGCUUUAUAAAUCUGAUUUACACCAACACCACCUUAAACCUGCACUUUCAUUUGCUAGUUAGCUUCUGUCACUUGUUAGCUUUUACAUGCUAGGUCUUAAAGAGAACACUGGCAGCUGUGUGAUUGAUUAGGAUGGAGCUUAAACAAGCUU